UCUUCCAACACUCACCAAGAUAAAAACAAUGUCAGAAACCCAAAGCUGGACGCUCGGCUGAGAAAACUCAUAACUCUCCCCUGCAUGUCCCGGUGUCCUCAACACUCCACUGUUAAGACUUUCAUUCCUCUCAGGACCCCCUCAAAUAGAAAUGGCUUACCGGGGCAACAUAAAUUGUCGAGAGGAUCAGGCCGGGGCGAGAGUAAGGACUCAUCUUGCUUUGAAUGAGCACCGGCAGGUCCCCCGCUGUCACUGCACUGUGAGCAGAUGGUGAGCAUCCCCGUCUAUUGUCCCCAGACAUGUGUUUGUAGAGGGAAGCAGCUGAGGGAUAAAGAGAGAGGCACCAAGAAGAAAGACCAGGGAAUAUAUGCUCACACACAUUUGAAGAGCUUGUCGCCAGGGGAAACGCGCCACUUCCGGCAUGGGGAAACCCGACGCUAGGCCAGGCUGACGCUGAGACCCGCUACGUCUGCGGCCACAUCACAUGGGACUAACGCACUCUUUCAUCCUGCCUCUGUUUCUUUGCUUUCUUUAUCCCCCUAUCCACACAGUCAUCAUAAUCACCCGUUCUUUUAGAGCCCCCACUGUCCUCAGGGGUUUAGCCUUAUAGUUCUCAGUAGUAAGAGUUUUCUUUUUACUACUAAAAUGAUUAUUUAACAUUCCUUAUGCAGCAGUUCUGUUGAUAUUUUGAUAAUAUCUCAUUAAAGACCUUUUUCAAUUAAACAGUAUAGAAAACAUGAGUUAAGAUAAAUAAUUGCAGCGUCUUUCCAAACAUCUGAAGCAACCUAUUUAAGUGAAUAUCAAAACCUUUCA
Molecule: long non-coding RNA, 813 nt
Organism: Girardinichthys multiradiatus
Lineage: Eukaryota; Metazoa; Chordata; Actinopteri; Cyprinodontiformes; Goodeidae
Exons: 3
Source: RefSeq, a predicted model, not a curated record